Quercus lobata is the source of this 1353-nucleotide long non-coding RNA. RefSeq lists it as uncharacterized. NCBI's taxonomy places the organism in Eukaryota, Viridiplantae, Streptophyta, Magnoliopsida, Fagales, Fagaceae. The transcript is spliced from 3 exons. The record is from RefSeq and is a predicted model, not a curated record.
AUUGAUUCAAGCAUGGAUGAAGAGUUGGAUGAAAGGAAGGAGUUUUGGGGAUCUUAAAGUACUUCUCAUUGUCUUUUUUCUCUAUUUUAUGGUCUAUUUGGACUUAUAGGAACAAGGCAACUGUGAAGAAAGAGCCUUUCUCUGCCACUAAUGUGGUCAUGUAUUGUAAAUUUUGAUUUUAAUGUGCAGGGUAACUAACAGUUCAAAAGCCUUGAUAGCAGCAGGAUAAGCAAAUCUAAGUGUUCCAACUAGCAACCAACUCUAUUGGAGACAAGCUGCAAGCAUAGGAGAAGGAAAUAGAGAGGAUCCAGCUUCUUUUGUAAGAUAGAGAAGGUGGCAGAGUUGGCCAAUAGAGAGGCUGUGUGGUUAAGGUCAUUCAACAUAUUACAAAUGUUUGGAUUUGACAGGUGGACAGAUGUCCUAGCAGAGCCUUGAUCCCUAGCAACACUUUGCCCAUAAGUUCUUCAUGAGCAUUAGCUUGGACAACUGGAAGCAAACUCCGAAUCUUGUACUCUUUUCUUCUUGUGCUGUUUUGGUUCCUUUGUUUCAAUGUACAAAAAAAGAAUGGCAAGACAAAGCAUUUUGUUGGUGUUUUAAAAAGCAGUAGAAAUCAUGUGCUGGAAAGCAAGUAAACAUUGACAUUGGAAGCUUUUACUGCCAAAGGUAUAUUGAUUUAUUACUCUAUCCCAUGUUGUUUUCUUCCAUUCAGAAUUAGGCUUCUAGGUUUCUCUUAUUUAGAAGUCCACAAGAACAAGCUCAUUAGUGAAGGCAUGACAGAUUGACAGGUAACUGUCAAGAACUAAAGGAAAGCCUCAACAGCAGCAAAAUAAGCAAAACCCAGACCUUUAUAGUCUUUCAACUGGCAACCAAUCCUGCUGGAGAAGAGUUGCAAAGGUAAAAGAAUGAACUGGAGAGGAUUCAUUCAGUUUUGUUUGUAAAACUAGAGGCUGGUUGUUUGAGCUAGACUAAAGAGGGUGGAAUAGAAGUAACAAGGAGGUGGUGGCAGAGCUGAUGAAGGACAUUCAGGGUGUUUUGGAACAGUUGACAGAUGAUCGGGUUUGGACAGAUGGACAAAAAUCUUUUGGAAGGGCCUCAAAUCUCUAGCAAGUAGCAACCUUUGCUCCUAACUUGUUUGUGAACAUUAGCUUCGAUAGUACAAAGUGGAUUCCUAAUCUUGUACAUUUUUAUUCUAGUGCUGUUAAUGUUCCUUUGUAUCAAUAUAUCAUGGUGCAAAUCCAUCACCAAAGCCAUAAAAAUUUUUUUUAGAACAAAAUAGAAAUCCGUAGAAUUUUAAGAUUACAUUUGUUGUUUAGACAGAAAUUCCUUAUAAUAUAUGUUGAUAACAACAAACAA